GUGUGGUCCCUCAUCGCUGAUGUAUCCUAAGGGCUGGCAACACAGCCCGGCUCCUCGCGUGUUUCCUGGAGAAACAACACCCCCAGGGCCCUGGGGGUGGCAGAGGGGAGUCUUCUGGGACCAGCUCCCCGUGGGCCUGAGAGGGAGGUGAGCCUGCAUCACGGGGGGCGGGGCGGAUGUGGCACAGAGCCCAGCAGCAGAGAACACUGGCCACGUGGCCCGCCGUCAUGGGUCUGCGCCGACCUGGCCUGUCCAGCUGUCGUCUCUGGCAGGGGGUCCUUGGGGCUGGGGUCUGCCAGGGUGAGCAGUGGGACUGGUCGGGGGGCGGGGUGGGGGACACGCGGUGGGAGGAGGUAUGAGGUGGGCAGGGCCAGGUGGCCAGUCCCAACUGAUUGCCACUGGCGCCGCUGGACAGGAGAGCCGCAGCCAGGAGGCCUGCCCUGUCUCAGCCCGCAGAGGAGACGCUCUUCCCAAGCCUUCUCCGAGGCCUGCUCUAUGCUCAUACAAGUCUGGGGGUCUGGGGCGGCCAGUGCCCCUGGUGGGCUUCUCAUCAUACUCUCUGCAGCUGUCACAGGCAGCUGGGCGUCGGGGAAGGCGGGGCGGCCUCUGGCUGAUCCCUGACAUGACAGCUCCCUUUCCUUCCUUUCCUGGGGUUUCAGCAGGUCUCGGGACCCAGGGGCCGACCCCUGCCCGACACGGGCCAGCUCCUCCGCUGGGAACACGAGGACAGAGCUGCCGCUCUCCCACCGCUCACAGGAAUGGUCGGCCGCCCCCCAGGACCUACUCUCCAGACAGACUGCACGCAGCAAAGCCAGCCUGCCUGUCCCGGCCCGUCCAGCAGACCCCACGGCCGCCCAGCCCCAGCCCCAGGCACCGUGGGAGAGCCGCACGGCCAUGCCAGAUUUCCCAAGAGAUACACUGA
This 922-nucleotide long non-coding RNA is filed under the name Capra hircus (goat). Its description in RNAcentral is "lncRNA (ENSCHIG00010023049.1)". Lineage: Eukaryota; Metazoa; Chordata; Mammalia; Artiodactyla; Bovidae. The record is from RNAcentral.